CAAUAAUCAUGACCUUGGCUUGAAAGCUUCUCAAAUGGGACCGUAGUGAUGACUGUUGGCUCAGUGGGGAGGGAGCAGUGGCUUUCUAAAACCCCUCCCCACACAGGGCCUACCAGCCACAGAGUGGUAAUUUAGAGCCAGAUCCCUAAGAACUGGCACUGAGAGGAGGCUGGCUUCCUCCUCUCUACAGUUCCUGACCUGCAGCUCUGCAGGUUACUGUCCCACUGUGGUGGGCUCAGUGGGUGGCAAUUCAUCCGGACAUCAACCUAGGCCACGUCCACAUCUGGUACAAGAUGCUUCCCCAACAGCUCUGUGCGAGUGGCCACCUGACCUUGGCUGAGCUGCUCUGGGAUGCAAGAUUAAAAAAGCCCGGAAGCUGCAGCUCUAGGAAACGCAAAGCCCUUGAAGGUUUCUGAGGAGUCCGCAUAUUGAAGAAGAUUAAUCUGGGCGCAAAUCAGUAAACCACAACCGGUCUCUACACACGCACAUACACAGCACCAUCGCCACCAGGAAAAAGAACUGGAGGAACCAGCUAGUGGCCUUUGUUUACACCUUAUCUUGCAGCACCUUCAGAGCCCCACCUCAGAGGAAGCUAAGCCGGGGUCAUGGUCCCCUGGGCUCAGACUUCAUGUCCGUUAUCCUACAUAAGUUGUGAUUUUGAGAACUGGAGCCUGACAUGGUCCCAUUUUACAGGCUUGGGACAGUUCCACAACCCAGGUUGGAGGGAAAUGGCGCUCAAGUCUGGUUCCCCCCAGAUCUCCCAGGUGAUACAGCUUCUACCCCUGUUCCACUGAACGACCUCACUUCCACUGUGACCCGUCAGCUCAUCCAGGAUUCCUCAAACCAGCAUGUGUGACCCGCUUCAUCACAGCAGGAGAGCCCCAGGCUCUGUGGGAGACCACCCUCUGGGGUGUUUGGUCCGAAGAACCCCUGUGUGCGCAGUUUCCCCACACCCACCACCUCGGCUCCGGUUUGCUUUCGCGCUAUGAAUGUCUGCUUCCCCAUCUCAACGCUCCUGGGAGGAUGUCACAAACACGCACAGCCUCUGGCUCCACACACUCCCGCCUUGGCCCCAGGAGCCCCCGAUCAUCUCCCAGCCCUGCCCUCUGCCAGCUACCUUGUCCCAGUCCACCACUUUGAACUUUGGCUCCAUCAAAGGGUCUGUCUUCUGAGUGUUCACAGAGGUCACAGUCCCAUUCUCCAUGGAGCCCUGGGGAGAGAAGAUACAGGAAUUGCAGAGCCCGUGGGUCACAGGCUGGGGCAGCUAGGUCCACAUGCCCAUAAGAAAUGCAGCCCAGAGAAGAAGACGGUCCCUCUAGGAGCUCCCAUGUGUGGGUCAGCAGCUGUACAUGGGGCAGAACUGGCAGAGAGGUGCCCAGAUGGGCUCAAGGUGAAAUCGAAGUCGCAGAGAAGCCAAGUCAGAAGGAAAUGGAAUUGUGGAAUGUACCAGGAAAGUCACAUGGCUGCAGCUGGCCCUGACGUCAUGGGGUGGUGGUGAGGAGGCUGGGGAGGGCAGGAGAGAGGUGGGGAGAGCAAUGCCACUGGGAGGCCUGCCCUCAGAUGCCCCGUGACUAAAGCAUACUGUGGUGCUGGUGACCGUGGUGGGGACCCCGGAAGCAGGGUACUUGGCAAGGACUGAGGAGCCGAAGCAGCCCUCUGGAGUUUCUAUUGGCACAAUUCUUACGUUUUUGCUUCCAAACGAACCAAGAGAAACUGGGGGUGACGGCGAAGCUGGCAUUCUCUGGGGAAACCCAUAUCAACCCAAGUAAAAGUAGACUUCUGUGGUCCUGU
Neofelis nebulosa (Clouded leopard) is the source of this 1791-nucleotide long non-coding RNA. RefSeq lists it as uncharacterized. NCBI's taxonomy places the organism in Eukaryota, Metazoa, Chordata, Mammalia, Carnivora, Felidae. The transcript is spliced from 7 exons. The record is from RefSeq and is a predicted model, not a curated record.